Molecule: ribosomal RNA, 301 nt
Filed under: uncultured bacterium
Lineage: Bacteria
Description: partial 16S ribosomal RNA
Rfam family: Bacterial small subunit ribosomal RNA
Source: RNAcentral
CAGUAGCCACGGGAAUACGUAGGUGGCAAGCGUUGUCCGGAAUUAUUGGGCGUAAAGGGCUCGCAGGCGGUUUCUUAAGUCUGAUGUGAAAGCCCCCGGCUCAACCGGGGAGGGUCAUUGGGAACUGGGAAACUUGAGUGCAGAAGAGGAGAGUGGAAUUCCACGUGUAGCGGUGAAAUGCGUAGAGAUGUGGAGGAACACCAGUGGCGAAGGCGACUCUCAGGUCUGUAACUGACGCUGAGGAGCGAAAGCGUGGGGAGCGAACAGGAUUAGAUACCCCUGUAGUCCCUGUCUCUUAUAA